This 253-nucleotide ribosomal RNA is filed under the name uncultured bacterium. RNAcentral's name for it is "partial 16S ribosomal RNA". It matches the Rfam family "Bacterial small subunit ribosomal RNA", at positions 524 to 776 of the family's 1533-position model. The record is from RNAcentral.
UACAGAGACUGCAAGCGUUAUUCGGAUUCACUGGGCGUAAAGGGUGCGCAGGCGGCCGAGUGUGUGAGGCGUGAAAGCCCGGGGCUUAACCCCGGAAUUGCACCUCAAACUACACGGCUAGAGCAUUGGAGAGGGUAGCGGAAUUCACGGUGUAGCAGUGAAAUGCGUAGAUAUCGUGAGGAACACCAGAGGCGAAGGCGGCUACCUGGACAAUUGCUGACGCUCAGGCACGAAAGCGUGGGGAGCAAAAGGG